This 648-nucleotide ribosomal RNA is filed under the name Triticum aestivum (bread wheat). RNAcentral's name for it is "partial small subunit ribosomal RNA". The record is from RNAcentral. Lineage: Eukaryota; Viridiplantae; Streptophyta; Magnoliopsida; Poales; Poaceae.
AUGCGGAUCAAGAAAAAUGUCCCCAAGAUCGACAGGAAGCAAGACUACGACAUGAAGCUUUGCAAGUUGCUGAAUGAGUACUACAGUGUGCUCAUAGUGGAGGCAGACCACGUCGGCUCCACCCAGCUCGCGGCCGUCCGUAGGGGCAUCCGCGGCGAGUCGGAGCUGCUCAUGGGGAAGAACACCCUCAUCCACCGCUGCAUCAAGGUGCACGCCGAGGCGACGGGCAAUGACAAGAUCAAGGCUAUCAUACCGCUACUCGAAGGAAACGUCGGUCUCAUCUUCACCAAGGCUGACUUCAAGAAGGUUCGCGAGGAGGUCGCCAAGUACAAGGUUGGGGCCCCUGCUCGUGUUGGGCUGGUUGCUCCUAUUGAUGUGGUGCUUCCCCCUGGCAACACUGGUCUGGAUCCCUCCCAAACUUCUUUCUUCCAGGUGCUUAACAUCCCCACCAAGAUCAAUAAGGGCACUGUUGAAAUCCUGGCCCUGGUGGACAUCACCAAGAAGGGUGACAAGGUGGGCUCGUCCGAGGCUGCCCUGCUUGCCAAGCUCGGUAUCCGCCCAUUCUCCUAUGGGCUUGUGAUCACAAAUAUUUAUGAAGAUGGGUUAGUCUUCAGCCUAAGGUUCUUGACCUCACAGACGAAGACCUGA